This 72-nucleotide transfer RNA is filed under the name Camelus bactrianus (Bactrian camel). It matches the Rfam family "tRNA". Rfam says of the family: Transfer RNA (tRNA) molecules are approximately 80 nucleotides in length. Their secondary structure includes four short double-helical elements and three loops (D, anti-codon, and T loops). RNAcentral also lists the same sequence under 1 other name. Lineage: Eukaryota; Metazoa; Chordata; Mammalia; Artiodactyla; Camelidae. The record is from Rfam by way of RNAcentral.
GAGGGCAGAGGUCAGUGGUAGAGCACAUGCUUAGCACGCAUAAGGUCCUGGGUUCAAUCCCUGGUACCUCCA